Molecule: long non-coding RNA, 1672 nt
Filed under: Capsicum annuum
Lineage: Eukaryota; Viridiplantae; Streptophyta; Magnoliopsida; Solanales; Solanaceae
Description: long non-coding RNA (CANN_LNC014740)
Source: RNAcentral
GGGAAUUUUAAAAUAUAAUUAUUUUUCUUAAAAAAAAAACUACCACAUGUGGUCGUUUUUUUUGCCACCACAAGAUGUGGUCGAUUUUUUGUGGUCGGAAAAACUAUUUUUUUAGUAGUGAGUGUCAAUUUGCGAAUGGUCUCUAAAUUGUCAGCCCUUUCCUUAGCAAGAUUAGCCUUCAGUGUGAGGAUUCUAGCUUAAAGAACCUUUUUCUUUUAGCAUGAGUGGCUUGAACAGUCUCUAACUCAGACAAGGUAUCAGCUAAGUCAUUCCUUAACCUUUGUAUGGGUGUGUCAGCUUGUCGCAUGGAAACAAGUAGUGAAACAUGGUUCAAAUGCCCAAUAAUGUGCUUUGUGGUUUAUAGAGACCAAACUUGCACUAGAACAACAUAUUUCUCAAAAAUUGAGGCUAACCAGAACUCAUAAGGAAGAGCAUGAGGUUUUUUUAUUAACUUUCAAGAGCACUCAUUGCAUGUGCUGACAAUGAGGCUAGGUAGAUCGAUAUUUACUUUAAUGUCAAGUAGUACCAUGAGGGUAAGAUCCAAACAAUUUUCUUCAGUGUGCCUUUUCUUUCUUGGGGUAAUCAUUUUAUGGACCACAUCAAAAUAGAGCUGGUAGAGAGGGGAUAUUUCAUAUUUGAGCACACAUCAAUGAUGAAGCGGAUUAGGAUUUCCAAAGAAUUUCCUAGUAAUGUUCAAAGAAGAUCCCAUGUUCUGGGAGAGGCCAUUCAAACUUGACAUAUUGAUCCCAACCUUCAAGACGAAUAACUAAGAUGUGAGUUAUGUCCUUAGCAACCAAGUGGAUAGGAACACCACGCACAAAGGUGGUGAAGAGAUGUCCCUUAGCAGCACCAUUGGUGUAAAACUCAAACCUUAGGGCGUCCAAAUUUAUGUUAAGUGUCACCUUGGAGGAAUAAGGUGGUCUAAAUAAAGGGUUGGAAUGGCACGUUUGUAAGUUUUUCCUCGACGAAUAGAGCAUAUCAAUAUAUCCAAAUCAGAAGGAGGAAUUGGUAGUAUAGAUGAGGAAGGUUUCUUCUUUUUACUAUUUUUUAGAGUGGCUUCAAGAGUGACAUCCUCUUAUCUUUUUUGAUUUCUAGUGUGAGGAUGCAAAUUGGAGUAGACGCAGGUGAGGAGACAUAAAUAAGCUCAUCUUUAGGAAUACAGAAUUGAGCCCUAAAUAAUUUUACCAGAUGAGAAUGAACUCAUUUAGGAACAGGUGUGGAACAGGGUUCAUUCUCAGUGAGAAAAAUUUAAAGAGGAGCAAUUUCUUGAACUAGAUCUGGAGAAGAGCACUGGUUGCGGGAAGAAUCUUAAGCAAAAGAAUUGAGCAUUGAUUUAAAGUUGUUCCAAGCCCUAAAAUCCGACAUUUUGAAGGGAAUGAAAGAGGAAAUUUAUGGAGUUUUGGCUAAAUCAGUAUGAAGAGUAAUAAAGAGUGAGGAGGAUAGUGAUGUAGAUGAGGAAUUUAUGGUGUCUUCUUGAACUGGGCGGAGGGAUUUUGAGAAGCCAUUGGCAAAGAAAAGCAAUCUUCAAAAGAUAGAGCAGGUGGGUUUAGCAUGAGAGAGAUGGUGAUAAAGAAUGAAUGGUCAAGGAUUUAUAUAGGAGAAGUGAGGAAUUGAAUUUACGUGAAAAGAGAAGUUAAAUCGUGUAGGAAUAAAUGGGUGUGUUAGGAAUGAU